This 468-nucleotide ribosomal RNA is filed under the name uncultured bacterium. RNAcentral describes it as "partial 16S ribosomal RNA". It matches the Rfam family "Bacterial small subunit ribosomal RNA", at positions 28 to 507 of the family's 1533-position model. The record is from RNAcentral.
GACGAACGCUGGCGGCGUGCUUAACACAUGCAAGUCGAACGGAAAGGCCCUGCUUUUGUGGGGUGCUCGAGUGGCGAACGGGUGAGUAACACGUGAGUAACCUGCCCUUGACUUUGGGAUAACUUCAGGAAACUGGGGCUAAUACCGGAUAGGAGCUCCUGCUGCAUGGUGGGGGUUGGAAAGUUUCGGCGGUUGGGGAUGGACUCGCGGCUUAUCAGCUUGUUGGUGGGGUAGUGGCUUACCAAGGCUUUGACGGGUAGCCGGUCUGAGAGGGUGACCGGCGACAUUGGGACUGAGAGACGGCCCAGACUCGUAGGGGAGGCAGCGGUGGGGAGUAUUGCACAGUGGGCGGAAGCCUGAUGCAGCGACGCCGCGUGCGGGAUGACGGCCUUCGGGUUGUAAACCGCUUUCGCCUGUGACGAAGCGUGAGUGACGGUAAUGGGUAAAGAAGCACCGGCUAACUACGUG